This 2795-nucleotide ribosomal RNA is filed under the name Escherichia coli. RNAcentral's name for it is "partial 23S ribosomal RNA". It matches the Rfam family "Bacterial large subunit ribosomal RNA". Lineage: Bacteria; Pseudomonadati; Pseudomonadota; Gammaproteobacteria; Enterobacterales; Enterobacteriaceae. The record is from RNAcentral.
GGUUAAGCGACUAAGCGUACACGGUGGAUGCCCUGGCAGUCAGAGGCGAUGAAGGACGUGCUAAUCUGCGAUAAGCGUCGGUAAGGUGAUAUGAACCGUUAUAACCGGCGAUUUCCGAAUGGGGAAACCCAGUGUGUUUCGACACACUAUCAUUAACUGAAUCCAUAGGUUAAUGAGGCGAACCGGGGGAACUGAAACAUCUAAGUACCCCGAGGAAAAGAAAUCAACCGAGAUUCCCCCAGUAGCGGCGAGCGAACGGGGAGCAGCCCAGAGCCUGAAUCAGUGUGUGUGUUAGUGGAAGCGUCUGGAAAGGCGCGCGAUACAGGGUGACAGCCCCGUACACAAAAAUGCACAUACUGUGAGCUCGAUGAGUAGGGCGGGACACGUGGUAUCCUGUCUGAAUAUGGGGGGACCAUCCUCCAAGGCUAAAUACUCCUGACUGACCGAUAGUGAACCAGUACCGUGAGGGAAAGGCGAAAAGAACCCCGGCGAGGGGAGUGAAAAAGAACCUGAAACCGUGUACGUACAAGCAGUGGGAGCCUCUUAAUGGGGUGACUGCGUACCUUUUGUAUAAUGGGUCAGCGACUUAUAUUCUGUAGCAAGGUUAACCGAAUAGGGGAGCCGAAGGGAAACCGAGUCUUAACUGGGCGUUAAGUUGCAGGGUAUAGACCCGAAACCCGGUGAUCUAGCCAUGGGCAGGUUGAAGGUUGGGUAACACUAACUGGAGGACCGAACCGACUAAUGUUGAAAAAUUAGCGGAUGACUUGUGGCUGGGGGUGAAAGGCCAAUCAAACCGGGAGAUAGCUGGUUCUCCCCGAAAGCUAUUUAGGUAGCGCCUCGUGAAUUCAUCUCCGGGGGUAGAGCACUGUUUCGGCAAGGGGGUCAUCCCGACUUACCAACCCGAUGCAAACUGCGAAUACCGGAGAAUGUUAUCACGGGAGACACACGGCGGGUGCUAACGUCCGUCGUGAAGAGGGAAACAACCCAGACCGCCAGCUAAGGUCCCAAAGUCAUGGUUAAGUGGGAAACGAUGUGGGAAGGCCCAGACAGCCAGGAUGUUGGCUUAGAAGCAGCCAUCAUUUAAAGAAAGCGUAAUAGCUCACUGGUCGAGUCGGCCUGCGCGGAAGAUGUAACGGGGCUAAACCAUGCACCGAAGCUGCGGCAGCGACACUAUGUGUUGUUGGGUAGGGGAGCGUUCUGUAAGCCUGCGAAGGUGUACUGUGAGGUAUGCUGGAGGUAUCAGAAGUGCGAAUGCUGACAUAAGUAACGAUAAAGCGGGUGAAAAGCCCGCUCGCCGGAAGACCAAGGGUUCCUGUCCAACGUUAAUCGGGGCAGGGUGAGUCGACCCCUAAGGCGAGGCCGAAAGGCGUAGUCGAUGGGAAACAGGUUAAUAUUCCUGUACUUGGUGUUACUGCGAAGGGGGGACGGAGAAGGCUAUGUUGGCCGGGCGACGGUUGUCCCGGUUUAAGCGUGUAGGCUGGUUUUCCAGGCAAAUCCGGAAAAUCAAGGCUGAGGCGUGAUGACGAGGCACUACGGUGCUGAAGCAACAAAUGCCCUGCUUCCAGGAAAAGCCUCUAAGCAUCAGGUAACAUCAAAUCGUACCCCAAACCGACACAGGUGGUCAGGUAGAGAAUACCAAGGCGCUUGAGAGAACUCGGGUGAAGGAACUAGGCAAAAUGGUGCCGUAACUUCGGGAGAAGGCACGCUGAUAUGUAGGUGAAGUCCCUUGCGGAUGGAGCUGAAAUCAGUCGAAGAUACCAGCUGGCUGCAACUGUUUAUUAAAAACACAGCACUGUGCAAACACGAAAGUGGACGUAUACGGUGUGACGCCUGCCCGGUGCCGGAAGGUUAAUUGAUGGGGUUAGCGGUAACGCGAAGCUCUUGAUCGAAGCCCCGGUAAACGGCGGCCGUAACUAUAACGGUCCUAAGGUAGCGAAAUUCCUUGUCGGGUAAGUUCCGACCUGCACGAAUGGCGUAAUGAUGGCCAGGCUGUCUCCACCCGAGACUCAGUGAAAUUGAACUCGCUGUGAAGAUGCAGUGUACCCGCGGCAAGACGGAAAGACCCCGUGAACCUUUACUAUAGCUUGACACUGAACAUUGAGCCUUGAUGUGUAGGAUAGGUGGGAGGCUUUGAAGUGUGGACGCCAGUCUGCAUGGAGCCGGCCUUGAAAUACCACCCUUUAAUGUUUGAUGUUCUAACGUUGGCCCCUGAUCGGGGUUGCGGACAGUGUCUGGUGGGUAGUUUGACUGGGGCGGUCUCCUCCUAAAGAGUAACGGAGGAGCACGAAGGUUGGCUAAUCCUGGUCGGACAUCAGGAGGUUAGUGCAAUGGCAUAAGCCAGCUUGACUGCGAGCGUGACGGCGCGAGCAGGUGCGAAAGCAGGUCAUAGUGAUCCGGUGGUUCUGAAUGGAAGGGCCAUCGCUCAACGGAUAAAAGGUACUCCGGGGAUAACAGGCUGAUACCGCCCAAGAGUUCAUAUCGACGGCGGUGUUUGGCACCUCGAUGUCGGCUCAUCACAUCCUGGGGCUGAAGUAGGUCCCAAGGGUAUGGCUGUUCGCCAUUUAAAGUGGUACGCGAGCUGGGUUUAGAACGUCGUGAGACAGUUCGGUCCCUAUCUGCCGUGGGCGCUGGAGAACUGAGGGGGGCUGCUCCUAGUACGAGAGGACCGGAGUGGACGCAUCACUGGUGUUCGGGUUGUCAUGCCAAUGGCACUGCCCGGUAGCUAAAUGCGGAAGAGAUAAGUGCUGAAAGCAUCUAAGCACGAAACUUGCCCCGAGAUGAGUUCUCCCUGACUC